RNAcentral lists this long non-coding RNA (1679 nucleotides) under Agrilus planipennis (emerald ash borer). Its description in RNAcentral is "uncharacterized LOC112905762, transcript variant X3". Lineage: Eukaryota; Metazoa; Arthropoda; Insecta; Coleoptera; Buprestidae. The record is from RNAcentral.
UGUUUGAAUUUAAUAGUGGAAAUAUUUUCCUGAAUUCGUGUCUGCUUUUAUGAGUUUUUAUCGUUUAUUCUUCAAACGAAAUUGCUUUUAACCUAGCUGAGGAAGCGGGGUAAAGAGACACGGUGAAAGGAACUGUUUGAAUGUAUUAUCUUAUAUCGUUAUCUCUUGACUCAUGUUGUUCGAACGAUUUCUUACGAAAAUAAUAAUAACCGUCGCAGAGGUCUAAUAUGAUGCUUCUGCGUACCGUUUCUACGUCAUCACCGUUUCGGGCAUAGCUUUAGAAUAUUCUUGCAAGCCUUACAGCAGUAUGCAGUGCAUGAGUGUAUCUCGUUUUUGCUGUCCGUUGAUUUACGCUGUCUAUAAAGGGAGACGACGCCUGAAGGUAUUUAGCGCUAAUCCUUAUUCAAUUUUCAUUUGAUUGUGUGGAAUAUGUUUCUAUUUCGUGAUUGACGGGUUUCGAUUACCGUUGCUUAGAUCUUUUUUGACGCGAUGUCUUCGUGCUUCAACAUGGGAGUCCAUCUUGGCAUCUUGCCCGUUCGUUCAUCUACUGUGAAUUUUUAUAAACUCUUAGUUUAUUUGAGGUCGAAUAAUUAUAGUUUUGUUAAAAUUUUUAAAUUUUCAAAACAGGUUUAGGCGAUGAUUGUAGAUUUUUCGUAUCGAUGUGACCACGCCUCGAAAAAUUGCCUUCGUUUUAUAGCCAAAAUGUGUAAAAUAUUUCUCAAAAAUAUUACUCUGCCUUCAAAAAUUCUUUAUUUCUAUUAGAAAAAUUUUCAUUUUUGCCUCGUUAUUCUAGAGUUUUAACUCGUUUUUUUUUUAAUACAGGCUUGCUGUGAGAUAACAACCUAGGAUUUGAUGGACAAAACUACUACAGAUGUAAUGUCUGUAACAGUGUGACUUAUUUUAUUUCCAAAAAAUGCCACUAAUGGGCUGAUUGAAAAAUUCAUUGGACAUAAGAUGUUAACAAUGGUUUCCAUUAAAACAUUAAAGAACAUGAGGAGGUAAAUCAAAAGGAGUCGAAACGUGGAGAAACAGAGCCCCCCACUCAUACUUUCUUCUCUUGGACUUGGAAAGGACAGUUGUAUUUAUGAAAUGGUUAUCAUUUAAACACUUUAAAUGAACAAGGAGACAAGUAAGAAGGAUUCGAAACCUGGAGAAGUGAAGCCCCUGUAAUGUUUUUUAGAAGAAACAUGCGGUCCAAUUCACACUGAUGGUUGGUUGUUCUAAGGUUGCGCAUGUGAUGUUGUGUCUUCUGCUCUGUGGCUCAUUUCACUGUCAAUGGUAUCAUUAUUCCUUUCAAAAGUAUCUAUUGUUAGAGGUACUCUCUGCUGUCAACGCUUAGGAAUAAAACCCGAACACCUUCGAUAAUCCUCGAGUGUUCAACAAUUGGGAAAGAAAUAAAGUUCAGCUUGGUCCUACUGAAACAACCAAUGUGAUUAGCUGUUUACAUCUUUGUCAACAACAUCAUGAAGUUAAUUUUCAACUGAUGUGUGAGAGCAACUGGAGAUUAACUUGAAUUCCAUGGAAACAACAAAUUUUCUGGGAUGGUAUUCUUGCCGGAUUUGUUUUGCUUUUUACACCUGCAAAGUUUGGGAUGUUACAAUCUACAGUUGAUUAAGGUGAGAAUACUUGAUAUAAUUAAUUUUAAUUGCUCUUUAUUAAUCAAUUUGCUACCGUAUCUG